UGCGAAAUAAUUGGGUAUCUAAGCCUCGGGAAGCAUCGGUAUUCACGCUAAAAGGUGCGAUGGAUAAAAGCAGCUUGACUAGUCGACUUUUGUGGCCUUUGUUACUUGAAUAAGUAAGCCCUUAGGGGUGUCUCUACACCUAGCGCCCUAAGAUCAUCUGGUUUGGGAGUCGUUGGUGGAAAGUUCGCUAAUGGGUAACUCUGAAAAGCCUAAGAAAAGGAGACAUUGCACAUGUCAAGAAAAAAAAAAAGAAAAGAAAUAGAAAAAAAAAGAAGAAGCAUGAAAAUACAUUCAUCUGUGCUAAAAAGAAGGUUCUAUGAAAAAAUUAAAAAGCGAGAAAAAUUUGUUCUUGGUUAUGAGUCAGUGUGCACGGUUUUUGCUCCAUGGUAACUAAGUUGAGUAAGUAUGAUGAUUUUGGGAAAGUUACUUAUGUGGCUACAAUUUGAUUUAAUGAAAUUCAUUGGUGAAAUGGUAAAGUUGGUAAUUGUGAGUUAAUUGAUAAGGCGUUG
This 509-nucleotide long non-coding RNA is filed under the name Panax ginseng (ginseng). RNAcentral's name for it is "long non-coding RNA (PGIN_LNC001563)". The record is from RNAcentral. Lineage: Eukaryota; Viridiplantae; Streptophyta; Magnoliopsida; Apiales; Araliaceae.